This 202-nucleotide unclassified non-coding RNA is filed under the name soil metagenome. Its description in RNAcentral is "partial internal transcribed spacer 1". The record is from RNAcentral.
CCGAGUUUACAACUCCCAAACCCAAUGUGAACGUUACCAAACUGUUGCCUCGGCGGGAUCCUCUGCCCCGGGUGCGUCGCAGCCCCGGACCAAGGCGCCCGCCGGAGGACCAACCAAAACUCUUAUUGUAUACCCCCUCGCGGGUUUUUUUUAUAAUCUGAGCCUUCUCGGCGCCUCUCGUAGGCGUUUCGAAAAUGAAUCA